UGCAGCUGAAAGUCAAACCGAGCCUUUGUGGUUACAGGCAGCAGUUCUCCUGCAGUCGCGGAAGCGCAGAUGCCAAUGGAAGCUGUCAGAAGUACAUCUCCCUUGAAGGUCACUCCUCCCUAUCUCCCAGGGACCAAUUUCAGAACAGAGGGGAAUUUUGUGCGUUAAUUGCACUGAGACUUUUCUGUGCUGCAACUGAAAGAUAUCCCACACUGAAAUGCAGCCCAUGCACACAAAGAAGUGACCUGAUCCCACUUACUCUGCACAGAUAAAAAUCCCAUGAACUCAAGGGGAGUUUUGCCUGGAUUAGUACAACACUACUGGGCCCAGGUCAUUCAGAACAUCACUGCGAUGCAACCCGGAUCUUCCUGCUCCAAAAGCACAAGCUCCUACAUAUCUGAAAUAUGGGAGAACUUCCUUCAGCAGCGAGGCACUACAAGGUCUAUGGCACACAGCUGAAAAGUUCUGAUUCCAUCCAGUAGAGUGCAGUGGUACAGACAACAUACCCACAUAUAGUGAGCAGUUCAUUACAAUAGGUUUUAACUGUGGUUAUUGUUAUACAGGACACUGAAUGUCUUGGCAGACAGCAACUAAUACAACUAGAAAACAUUUCCUCCCCAGUUAGAUAACUCAAUUUCCUAAUUGCAUCUACAAAGGUAGCUUGCUGUACCCUUCUUUAAAUGUGUGUCCACACAAGCAUCCAAUCUUGGGGUGCGGCUCUGAACCAGCUUCCAAAUCACGACGUUUGCCUGCCAUGGAAAGGAUCCACCAUAUGUGACCAAAAGUGUAUCUGAUGGAUUAUCACUUAAUUUGGUCUUUAUGCUCAUCUCUUUCACUCAGUCACAUAGUUCCUCUACCUUCAGGUACACCUAGCCUUGCAGACUUUCACUUAUGCGGGAGAAAUUUUCUCUUCCCAUAUGGCGCUAGAACUGGGGAAGAGUUUGUUAAAGAAGAAAACUAAAGAAUAAAUUAAAGUUAUUGUUAA
Molecule: long non-coding RNA, 985 nt
Organism: Mauremys mutica (yellowpond turtle)
Lineage: Eukaryota; Metazoa; Chordata; Testudines; Geoemydidae
Exons: 2
Source: RefSeq, a predicted model, not a curated record